AACAGUUAGAAAUGACUGCUAAUACCGCAUAAGACCGCAGUGCCGCAUGGUACAGCGGUAAAAACUCCGGUGGUGUAAGAUGGGCCCGCGUCUGAUUAGGUAGUUGGUGGGGUAACGGCCUACCAAGCCGACGAUCAGUAGCCGACCUGAGAGGGUGACCGGCCACAUUGGGACUGAGACACGGCCCAGACUCCUACGGGAGGCAGCAGUGGGGAAUAUUGCACANUGGGGGAAACCCUGAUGCAGCGACGCCGCGUGAGCGAUGAAGUAUUUCGGUAUGUAAAGCUCUAUCAGCAGGGAAGAAAAUGACGGUACCUGACUAAGAAGCCCCGGCUAACUACGUGCCAGCAGCCGCGGUAAUACGUAGGGGGCAAGCGUUAUCCGGAUUUACUGGGUGUAAAGGGAGCGUAGACGGCUGUGCAAGCCAGAUGUGAAAGCCCGGGGCUCAACCCCGGGACUGCAUUUGGAACUGCGUGGCUUGAGUGUCGGAGAGGCAGGCGGAAUUCCUAGUGUAGCGGUGAAAUGCGUAGAUAUUAGGAGGAACACCAGUGGCGAAGGCGGCCUGCUGGACGAUGACUGACGUUGAGGCUCGAAAGCGUGGGGGAGCAAACAGGAUUAGAUACCCUGGUAGU
RNAcentral lists this ribosomal RNA (632 nucleotides) under uncultured bacterium. Its description in RNAcentral is "bacterial SSU rRNA". It matches the Rfam family "Bacterial small subunit ribosomal RNA", at positions 145 to 794 of the family's 1533-position model. The record is from RNAcentral.